AUGCAGCUGAGGAUUGUCCGGUUCAGCAUUAUUUUUAUAUUUGUGAAAAAAAAUGCACAUCCAACGCUGCGUUGUCCCGUUCUUAAGCUCCCUAAGCCUCAUGCUUUUGUUUCGGGAGUGGAUGCCGAAGAGACUUAUUUUGCUCAGUUACCUGAUUGUGUUAUGAAAGAUCACCUGACACCGGCUCAGACUCCUAUCGCUUGUGUUCGAGUUGCCAGUGUGAUGGUGCCUGCGGACAUUAUUGAGAACCAGAUUGCGAGGAGAUGCCCGGUUCUGACUCAGUGGAAGUGGGAGGCCAUACAACAUGGAGAGGAUGUCUAUCUUGUUAGAUUCCCCAAUUUUGAGGAUUUGAACAGAGUUGACGAUAUUAAGAUGAAUGUGCCUUCAGUUAAUGCCAGAUCAUCAUUUCUGCAUGGAAAUCUCAGGAGAUCCCACAUAAGUUGGAACUCAAGCAAGUUUGGCUUCAUGUUGACGGUGUCCCUCACACGGUUCGACACAUUUGGGGCCUCUGGGCAGUUGGCACUUUAA
RNAcentral lists this ribosomal RNA (528 nucleotides) under Triticum aestivum (bread wheat). Its description in RNAcentral is "partial small subunit ribosomal RNA". Lineage: Eukaryota; Viridiplantae; Streptophyta; Magnoliopsida; Poales; Poaceae. The record is from RNAcentral.